CUUCGUCGAGGCCGCGCUUCUCGCCAACCAACUCGGCAAGUCUCUCCCGCGAAGAGCGGUAGCUUUUCUCGAGAAACUCGCGAAAUGACGCGCCACGGAAAGAUCGACGGAGUCGUCAAGAGGGGCAAAGGUCGUGACGGCUCACCGCUGCUGUGUCGGCUAUGUCGGCCAUCCGCUGGGCGAUCCGUGAUCCGCGAGAUCCUCGCUGGCGGACAUUAUAGCGACGUAUAGUUCACGUAAUUACACUCGCACGCACGUCGAUUACUCGCGCCGCGACAAUGUACUCAGCGCGAGUUAACGAGCCACCCCUGCUUGCCUACCAGGAACGAGCAGUCGCUGUUCGCCGUAUCGUCGAGCGACACCAACCCCCGUUCUCGCCCCGUGCGCUGACGACGUUACGGCCGCGGGCGCCUGCGUGCUGUUGCGACUUCGCGUUCCUGACGGCGACGAACGACCGACUGGGGUAGGGAUGCACGAGUUCAGUAGGCUAGUGCUGCUUCUCCGUCCCUUCGCAGUAUCAGGAUCAUGCACGAAGCAGAAACCUCAAAUCUCUGCUAUGAUCGAAGAGGAGAAUCAAAGAGACGGACAGCGAUAAGAGCGAUCGAUAUCUUGGAGAAAUAUAUUGGGUUGGC
Molecule: long non-coding RNA, 632 nt
Organism: Ooceraea biroi (clonal raider ant)
Lineage: Eukaryota; Metazoa; Arthropoda; Insecta; Hymenoptera; Formicidae
Source: RefSeq, a predicted model, not a curated record